UUCCCGCCUGUCACGCGGGUGACCCGGGUUCGAUCCCCGGCAACGGCGAUGUUUUAUCUUAUUAUAAUUAAUUUUUUUUGUUUCGGAAAAGUUAUCUAGCUAGCCAGUGGAGGGAACUUGUGAUUUUCACUCCCGCCACUAAAACCCUCUCUCUUCCUUUGCGUCAAAAUAAUUUCGCGUUUGACUUGGCGAAAUCUAAAGCAAAAGGAGUGGAAGAGGAUCAAAAGGAGGAGGAGGUCUUUGAUUAAUUUCAAUCGUAUCUCUCUAUAACGGUGCCUCCGGGGACAAGAAGCACUAGAGCUCUUCUAGGGUUCGUUCCUUUUUCUGCAGAUUACUUCAACUGAUGGAUAUUCAUGUUCCGAUCAAAUUCCUGAUAUUGGGUGGCAGAAAUUUCAAAAGAAUUGUUGCCGUCACACAAAGACUUGGCAUGGAAAAAGAUUUUCAUGCAAGAUAGAUGGCAUAUAUUAAGCUGGCAUCUCAGUGGCUCGUGUUGUUCUUCUGCUUUCAACUCGUGAAAUUAUUGACUCUUCCUGAUUACUUCGUUAUUGUAACUAGAAUUUGUUUAUACCUUCUUGAUUGCUGGGAAAGAUACAGAAAGGUUACGCUUAUUUUUAAAAACUUCCUUCUCUUGUGCAUGAGAAAUGUAGGUUUUUGGUUUCAAAAAUACAUUUGUCUAGAGGUUAAUUCGAGAACUGGUGGCAAGUAUAAAUGAAAUUGCAGAACAGAACCCAUUAUCCCCAAGCUUCCGCAAUGGGGCCUCUAGAACAGAGCAAAAUAACCGAUCCCCAGAAGCGUGCACACAUCCAGAUCUACUACCCUACUUGCCAAGAUCACAGGUUAAGGGAAAGGGACGAGAAAUUGCAAACAAGUUCUUUGCAGUAGCUAACAUCUUUAUACAACACUGCUUAUUAGCAUUUAUUUUCUGCUAAUCUAUUCUUUGCAGUAGUUCGCUUUUCCAAAUAAAUUCUGUAUGGUAUAAUUUUUUUAAAAAAAUUAAUCAGUCUGGUGAAGUCUUAACCUCCAGAGAUUGAAGAUU
This is a long non-coding RNA of Populus euphratica (Euphrates poplar), 1036 nucleotides long. RefSeq lists it as uncharacterized. NCBI's taxonomy places the organism in Eukaryota, Viridiplantae, Streptophyta, Magnoliopsida, Malpighiales, Salicaceae. The transcript is spliced from 2 exons. The record is from RefSeq and is a predicted model, not a curated record.